Molecule: non-coding RNA, 127 nt
Organism: Hyaloscypha variabilis F
Lineage: Eukaryota; Fungi; Ascomycota; Leotiomycetes; Helotiales; Hyaloscyphaceae
Source: the annotation of a GenBank genome assembly
GGGCGGCUAGUGUAGUGGUUUAGCAUAUACCCGCUUUUUGAGCGGAUUCGACCGUAUGGGGAGACGUCCCCUAAUGGUCGAAUCCCCCAGUGAGGGUAAGACGGUGGUUCGAAUCCAUCGCUGUCCA